UAUUAGAAAGUGAAAUUUAUCACAUUUAGUUUCGACCUAAACCUUGGCUUUUAGGCCUCUAAUAA
RNAcentral lists this transfer RNA (65 nucleotides) under Charybdis bimaculata. RNAcentral's name for it is "tRNA-Arg". The record is from RNAcentral. Lineage: Eukaryota; Metazoa; Arthropoda; Malacostraca; Decapoda; Portunidae.